This 23-nucleotide unclassified non-coding RNA is filed under the name Mus musculus (house mouse). RNAcentral's name for it is "oocyte_clustered_small_RNA8219". The record is from RNAcentral. Lineage: Eukaryota; Metazoa; Chordata; Mammalia; Rodentia; Muridae.
UAGUUGGAGCACAUUCUGAGAGG